AUCUAGCUGUUGAGUCCCAAAUAGGACGAAAUGCCCGUCAAACUGGAU
This is a non-coding RNA of Schistosoma mansoni, 48 nucleotides long. Lineage: Eukaryota; Metazoa; Platyhelminthes; Trematoda; Strigeidida; Schistosomatidae. The record is from Rfam.